Molecule: ribosomal RNA, 624 nt
Filed under: Disperis paludosa
Lineage: Eukaryota; Viridiplantae; Streptophyta; Magnoliopsida; Asparagales; Orchidaceae
Description: eukaryotic LSU rRNA
Rfam family: 5.8S ribosomal RNA (bases 196-352)
Source: RNAcentral
AACAUGUAAGUUAUUUUGUAGUAUUUAUGCUACUGAGCACCCGUUCAUCCAUUGCAUUUUGUGCUGUGGUUAGAUAGGGAGAUCAAAUCGGCAUUGAAUUGUGCCAAGAAAUAUGAAUAUUGUGAGCAUUAAUUGCAUUCUCUCGAAGAGUAUGACUUUAGGGAGGGAUGUUCUUUGCUCCAUUCUAUUUUUUAUGACUCUUGACAAUGGAUAUCUUGGCUCUUGCAUCGAUGAAGAGCGUAGCGAAAUGCGAUACAUGGUGCGAAUUGCAGAAUCCCGUGAACCAUCGAGUUUUUGAAUGCAAGUUGCGCCUGAGGCCUAGCAGGCCAAAGGCACGUCUGCCUGGGAAUCAAGCAAUUCAUCGCUCUGCAUCAUCAAAUUACCAAAAAAUGAUAUUUUACAGAUGCGGAUAUUGGCCUGUUGUGUGGCACAGCAGGAUCAAGAUUGGCUUGAUUUUCACUUGAUAAUUAUCGAUAAUUGGGUGGUGGGCUCUGUUGCACAACCUUUAUAAUCGUAUGAUUGUCUAGUGAUAGAUUGUAGAAAAACUUCUUUAUGUGUUGUUGGUGGCAUGUAGAAAUGUGACCCCAGGAUAGGCGGGGUAACCUGCUGAGUUUAAGCAUAUAA